AGUGAACGCUGGCGGUAGGCCUAACACAUGCAAGUCGAACGGCAGCACAGUAAGAGCUUGCUCUUACGGGUGGCGAGUGGCGGACGGGUGAGGAAUACAUCGGAAUCUACUUUUUCGUGGGGGACAACGUAGGGAAACUUACGCUAAUACCGCAUACGACCUACGGGUGGAAGCAGGAGAUCUUCGGACCUUGCGCGAUUGAUUGAGCCGAUGUCGGAUUAGCUAGUUGGCGUGGUAAAGGCCCACCAAGGCGACGAUCCGUAGCUGGUCUGAGAGGAUGAUCAGCCACACUGGAACUGAGACACGGUCCAGACUCCUACGGGAGGCAGCAGUGGGGAAUAUUGGACAAUGGGCGCAAGCCUGAUCCAGCCAUACCGCGUGAGUGAAGAAGGCCUUCGGGUUGUAAAGCCCUUUUGUUAGGAAAGAAAAACAGCAGGUUAAUACCCCGCUGUUCUGACGGUACCCAAAGAAUAAGCACCGGCUAACUUCGUG
RNAcentral lists this ribosomal RNA (492 nucleotides) under uncultured bacterium. Its description in RNAcentral is "partial 16S ribosomal RNA". It matches the Rfam family "Bacterial small subunit ribosomal RNA", at positions 29 to 507 of the family's 1533-position model. The record is from RNAcentral.